GCAAACACUAACAGGGAGAAGCCGGAAAGUGGGGUUGACUGCACAUGCGCAGACGAAAACGCGCAUAUCCGUUCCCAGCAUGCUGCGCGGUAACCCAUAACAUGCAAGACUACGUUUCACAUGCAGUACGGCGCCAGCUGUCAGUGUUUUUUUGUUUGUUUUUCCCCCAAGAUUUAUGGCGUAAUAACAUGGACCGUCCUGAUAACUGGAGCCCGGGUUCUGUCAGAGCCCCAGAGGUUGUGGGUUAGACUUGAUGACAUAACAGCAAAUGCAGCGUGUGGUUACAGAAAGCAAGAGCCGCGGAAGACGUUUGAAAACAAUUGGGAAAAUUUGUAUACGGACUGGAAAUUAGAAUUAUUAAUUAAUUGUGGCAGCAUUGGGAUUAUGUAGGUAAUCUUGCUUAUUCAUAAAGAGAUGUCUAUGUAAGUAUUUAGGAUUGUAUUAUGUUUGUAAGUUUUUGGGUUUUUUGGUUUUUUUUUUUUUUUUUGAGACGGAGUCUUACUCUGUCGCCCAGGCUGGAGUGCAGUGGCGCGAUCUCGGCUAACUGCAACCUCCGCCUCCCGGGUUCAAGCGAUUCUCCUGCCUCAGCCUCCCAAGUAGCUGGGACUACAGGCGCCCGCCACUACGCCCAGCUAAUUUUUGUAUUUUUAGUAGAGACGGGGUUUCACCAUGUUGGCCAGGCUGGUCUCGAACUCCUCACCUCAAGUGAUCCGCCUGCCUUGGCCUCCCAAAGUGCUGGGUAUACAGGCGUGAGCUACCACUCCCGGCCCGUUUGUAAGUUCUUUUUAAAAAAUAAUUAGAAAUGGGAAGUAUGGCAAAAUGUUAAGAAUAUCUACUUCUAGAAUAUGGACAUGCUUAUUGACUAUGUGUUGGAAAAUUUUAUAAUAUAAAGUUGAUAAAGGGAAAAUUGGGACUGUAAUGUUACAAGUGUGCCUUUUAACUUAGAGCUGCCACAAAAAUACAUAAACAGCUUUGUGAAUAAAGCCGUAAAAUGUAACAAAUACUAGAAAAUGGAAACCAUUAUUAACAUAAAAGAAUAAUAUUUGUGAUCCUCAGUUUAUCUCUGGGGGGAAAAAAAGAAAAAGCAAGUAAGCUGUUCAGCAUUACAUAAUACCUGAAGUACACACAAUCCCAACUAAGAAAACCGUUAUCCACAAAUUAUGCAUCUCCUAGAGAUGAGCUUGCUUAAAUCUUAUGUGGUAUGCUUCUGAAAUCAGGAACCAAAUUAGGAACCUCUCAGCACAGUAUUUUAUGACACUCUUUUUAGUAACACACAUACACUCACACACACACGGUUGAUACUUUCUAACAGGUUAUUUUAUAUGGCAAUGAUAAGUUUUGAUUAGCAAGAAAAAAGAUUAAUGGCAACAGUAAACUAGUGCAGUAUAUAUGAAUCAAGGUAUAAAAUUUUACUGUUGACACUGAAAAACACUUUAAUAGAUACUGGAGGAAAAGACUAACAUUUGUUUUUAAAAAUUCUAAUCAUCUAUGUUUUCUAAGUAUAUAUUUUCUUUUUUUGACAUUUAUAUAUUUUGCCUGUUUUCCUAAAGGAACUAUUCCAAUUUUCAUUCUAAUAAAAACUUAUGGUAAUGAUCAGAAAAGAAUUGAAAAUGCAUAGCAAUAUCUCUAUAUUUACUAUGUAUACUAUCACUAAAUAUUUAAAAAUUUAUCCUGGUGCAGUAAAAGUUCAACUAUAUGAAAAAGAAAGAAUGUAGUAUGUAUCAGCUGGCUUUUAAAGCAGUGGAAAGAGAACCUUCAGUAACCUUGUUAGGACAAUGAGAUAGGUGCUGGGACAAAGGACAUAUCCAUGGCACUAACAUUACAAUCAAUAAUUUUCACAAGGAUUCAUUCAACAAUAAGCAAUUAAUAAUAUCAAAGUUUUAAAUUUUUAAAUUAUACAUUUCUUAAGUUUUUAAGAGAAACAGGUGUUUUAAAAAGAUAAACCCUUUAAUUCCUUUCCAAGGAAAGUCUCGCCCUUCACAUCUGUCUGAAGGCUGAGACCUUGCCUGGUGCCCAAAGAGCUGCUCUCCGCCAACUUCCAAGUUCGGCGCUGUGUGUGUAGAUGCAGCACCACCGCAGCUGAUAAAUAUUUGCAGUGAGGUUUGGUUUGUUUGUUUGUUUUUGAGACCGGGUCUCACUAUGUCACCGAGGCUGGAGUGAAGUGGUGCGAUCACGGCUUAUUGCAGCCUGGACUUCCUAGGCUCAAGUGAUCCUCCCACCUCAGCUUCCCAAGUAGCUAAGUUUUGGACCUCCCUCCCUCCCUUCCUCCCUCCCU
This 2275-nucleotide long non-coding RNA is filed under the name Homo sapiens (human). RNAcentral's name for it is "non-protein coding lnc-NUTM2G-5:1". The record is from RNAcentral. Lineage: Eukaryota; Metazoa; Chordata; Mammalia; Primates; Hominidae.